Molecule: ribosomal RNA, 497 nt
Filed under: uncultured bacterium
Lineage: Bacteria
Description: partial 16S ribosomal RNA
Rfam family: Bacterial small subunit ribosomal RNA
Source: RNAcentral
GACGAACGCUGGCGGCGUGCCUAAUACAUGCAAGUAGAACGCUGAAGAGAGGAGCUUGCUCUUCUUGGAUGAGUUGCGAACGGGUGAGUAACGCGUAGGUAACCUGCCUUGUAGCGGGGGAUAACUAUUGGAAACGAUAGCUAAUACCGCAUAACAAUGGAUGACACAUGUCAUUUAUUUGAAAGGGGCAAUUGCUCCACUACAAGAUGGACCUGCGUUGUAUUAGCUAGUAGGUGAGGUAAUGGCUCACCUAGGCGACGAUACAUAGCCGACCUGAGAGGGUGAUCGGCCACACUGGGACUGAGACACGGCCCAGACUCCUACGGGAGGCAGCAGUAGGGAAUCUUCGGCAAUGUGGGCAACCCUGACCGAGCAACGCCGCGUGAGGGAAGAAGGGUUUCGGAUCGGAAAGCUCUGUUGUAAGUCAAGAACGGGUGUGAGAGUGGAAAGUUCACACUGUGACGGUAGCUUACCAGAAAGGGACGGCUAACUACGUG